GGCACUAUUUGGAGGUGGGGGUGCCCUGGCCGAGCUGCAGCAGGGAAUUGGUGGCGUAGUUCUGGAAGAGGGGCUGCAGGAACAUCCCGACGGUGCCGAAGAUGCAGACGAAGACGAAGAUCCAUAAGAAGAGGCGGUCGAUGACCAUGGCCACGUACUUCCAGUCCUCGCUCACACUCUGGUCGUCGUCCUCGCUGCGCAUGUGGUCUGCAAUGAAGCGCACUCCCUCCACCGCCUCCUCCAGCCCGCAGCCGCACGGUGCCGGGGGAUCCGGCCCCUGCCCCUGCCGCUCCCGGUAACCAUUGAGCCCCUCGGCUUUGGCAGCCCCAGGGUUGGCAUAGCAGGCGCAGGCACGAGCACCGGCCCGGAGGAAAAGCGUGGCAGCUGCGGCACGCUCCUGGGUUUGGCGACGCUGGCGCAGGCGUUGCCUCGCGCAGUUCUGCUGCGGCUGCUUCAUGAAGAGCAGCGCCGGGAGCUUGCGGAGGAAAAGGGUGCGCACCCAGGGCGGCAUGGUG
Molecule: long non-coding RNA, 515 nt
Filed under: Gallus gallus (chicken)
Lineage: Eukaryota; Metazoa; Chordata; Aves; Galliformes; Phasianidae
Source: RNAcentral